CUAAGACUCGGCAGAUAAGGAUGGAGGCGACUCAACAUCACAGAUAUGAGCCCUGCAUUUCUGAAUGCCUUGAAAGAAAAACCAGCAAGUUGGGAGGGCUGUGUCUCCUUAUCGUCUUCCAGGAAUUCAAAACCGUGAUUUCCAGUUUCCAAAUGCAACUCAAACUCCAUCACCCUGUACAUCUUGCACGGUUUCUCCAGCAUAUUCUGAUCACCACCUCCAGACCCUUCUGAUAGAUUCAUUACCUGAAUCUGUUUGAUCCUGAACUCCUGCUCUCCCUUGGCUCAACCUCAUCACAGCCAGAAAGGAUGAGAGCUCUUUAAUGAAGUGGAUACAUGUCAGUUUCCCAGGACACAAACCAAAGUA
This 366-nucleotide long non-coding RNA is filed under the name Pan troglodytes (chimpanzee). RNAcentral describes it as "lincRNA". Lineage: Eukaryota; Metazoa; Chordata; Mammalia; Primates; Hominidae. The record is from RNAcentral.